ACCCAAUCCAAUUGGGUUCAAAUCAACUCACCAUUAUGUCUUCAUCCAAUGGUAGAUGAAGAUCUAACGGUCUAAAAUGAAUGAUUUAUCAAAUCUAAUCCAAUUAGACUCAAACCAAACCAAUUUAGGUGCCAACUCUUGGCUAACUCAUAUUAGGAUAUGAUCUAGUCAAAUUAGAUCAAUUAAGAAUCAGAUUCGAAUCCAAUUCGAAUCAGGAGCUAAGGUUUGCAACACCUGGUAGGAUAUUUAUCUUGCAAACAUGAUCUAAUCCGAUUAGACCCUUGAUCAGUUUUCUUGUGUAUGACCCAUUGGGUUCCAUAUUUAGCCAGUAAUAGGUGUGAGUGCGAGUUAACCCA
Molecule: long non-coding RNA, 356 nt
Filed under: Phoenix dactylifera (date palm)
Lineage: Eukaryota; Viridiplantae; Streptophyta; Magnoliopsida; Arecales; Arecaceae
Description: long non-coding RNA (PDAC_LNC017958)
Source: RNAcentral